AUAUUUUAUAUUUGAAACUACCAUUAUCCCCACCCUAUUAAUUAUUACACGAUGAGGAAACCAAGCAGAAUGCCUCAACGCAGGAACUUACUUCCUAUUCUAUACCAUAAUCAGCUCCCUUUCAAA
This is a long non-coding RNA of Thalassophryne amazonica, 126 nucleotides long. RefSeq lists it as uncharacterized. NCBI's taxonomy places the organism in Eukaryota, Metazoa, Chordata, Actinopteri, Batrachoidiformes, Batrachoididae. The record is from RefSeq and is a predicted model, not a curated record. The transcript is spliced from 3 exons.